RNAcentral lists this ribosomal RNA (386 nucleotides) under uncultured bacterium. RNAcentral describes it as "bacterial SSU rRNA". It matches the Rfam family "Bacterial small subunit ribosomal RNA", at positions 28 to 417 of the family's 1533-position model. The record is from RNAcentral.
GACGAACGCUGGCGGCGUGCUUAACACAUGCAAGUCGAGCGGUAAGGCCCUUUCGGGGGUACACGAGCGGCGAACGGGUGAGUAACACGUGGGUGACCUGCCCUCAGCUCUGGGAUAAGCCUGGGAAACUGGGUCUAAUACUGGAUAUGACUCCACGGUGCAUGUCGUGGGGUGGAAAGCCUUGUGCGGCUGAGGAUGGGCCCGCGGCCUAUCAGCUUGUUGGUGGGGGAUGGCCUACCAAGGCGACGACGGGUAGCCGGCCUGAGAGGGCGACCGGCCACACUGGGACUGAGACACGGCCCAGACUCCUACGGGAGGCAGCAGUGGGGAAUCUUGCGCAAUGGGCGAAAGCCUGACGCAGCGACGCCGCGUGAGGAUGACGGCCU